This 98-nucleotide microRNA precursor is filed under the name Loxodonta africana (African savanna elephant). RNAcentral's name for it is "mir-544 microRNA precursor family". It matches the Rfam family "mir-544 microRNA precursor family". Lineage: Eukaryota; Metazoa; Chordata; Mammalia; Proboscidea; Elephantidae. The record is from Rfam by way of RNAcentral.
AUCAUCUGGGGAGCUUGUUAAAAUGCAGAUUCCAGUUCAGAAGGUCUGGGAAGAGACCAAAGAUUCUGCAUUUCUAACAAACUCCCAGGUGCUGCUGG